AGCCUGAACGCUGGCGGCGUGGCUAAGACAUGCAAGUCGCACGGAGGCCGCAAGGCUUUAGUGGCGAACGGGUGAGUAAUGUAUCGCUAACGUACCCUUUAGUCUGGGAUAGCCAGGGGAAACCCUGGGUAAUACCAGUUGAUAUUCUCUUUCCGCAUGGGAGGAGACUCAAAGGAGCAAUCCGCUGAAGGAGCGGGCGAUAUCGUAUCAGCUAGUUGGUGAGGUAACGGCUCACCAAGGCUAUGACGCGUAGCCGGACUGAGAGGUCGGACGGCCACAUUGGGGACUGAGACACUGCCCAGACUCCUACGGGGGGCUGCAGUAACGAAUCUUCCGCAAUGCACGCAAGUGUGACGGAGCGACGCCGCGUGUGGGACGAAGUCCUUCGGGAUGUAAACCACUGUCAGGGGUUACCAAGUUCUGAGGAGCCCCAGAGGAAGGCACGGCUAACUCUGCGCCAGCAGCCGCGGUAA
This 473-nucleotide ribosomal RNA is filed under the name uncultured bacterium. RNAcentral's name for it is "SSU rRNA". It matches the Rfam family "Bacterial small subunit ribosomal RNA", at positions 26 to 523 of the family's 1533-position model. The record is from RNAcentral.